Molecule: transfer RNA, 75 nt
Filed under: Dehalococcoidia bacterium
Lineage: Bacteria; Bacillati; Chloroflexota; Dehalococcoidia
Also listed under: 1 other name
Description: tRNA-Ile
Rfam family: tRNA
About the family: Transfer RNA (tRNA) molecules are approximately 80 nucleotides in length.
Source: RNAcentral
GGGCCCGUAGCUCAGCGGCAGAGCACUCGGCUCAUAACCGAUUGAUCGUAGGUUCGAAUCCUACCGGGCCCACCA